RNAcentral lists this ribosomal RNA (1528 nucleotides) under Klebsiella pneumoniae. RNAcentral describes it as "bacterial SSU rRNA". It matches the Rfam family "Bacterial small subunit ribosomal RNA". The record is from RNAcentral. Lineage: Bacteria; Pseudomonadati; Pseudomonadota; Gammaproteobacteria; Enterobacterales; Enterobacteriaceae.
AGAGUUUGAUCAUGGCUCAGAUUGAACGCUGGCGGCAGGCCUAACACAUGCAAGUCGAGCGGUAGCACAGAGAGCUUGCUCUCGGGUGACGAGCGGCGGACGGGUGAGUAAUGUCUGGGAAACUGCCUGAUGGAGGGGGAUAACUACUGGAAACGGUAGCUAAUACCGCAUAACGUCGCAAGACCAAAGUGGGGGACCUUCGGGCCUCAUGCCAUCAGAUGUGCCCAGAUGGGAUUAGCUAGUAGGUGAGGUAACGGCUCACCUAGGCGACGAUCCCUAGCUGGUCUGAGAGGAUGACCAGCCACACUGGAACUGAGACACGGUCCAGACUCCUACGGGAGGCAGCAGUGGGGAAUAUUGCACAAUGGGCGCAAGCCUGAUGCAGCCAUGCCGCGUGUGUGAAGAAGGCCUUCGGGUUGUAAAGCACUUUCAGCGGGGAGGAAGGCGUUAAGGUUAAUAACCUUGGCGAUUGACGUUACCCGCAGAAGAAGCACCGGCUAACUCCGUGCCAGCAGCCGCGGUAAUACGGAGGGUGCAAGCGUUAAUCGGAAUUACUGGGCGUAAAGCGCACGCAGGCGGUCUGUCAAGUCGGAUGUGAAAUCCCCGGGCUUAACCUGGGAACUGCAUUCGAAACUGGCAGGCUAGAGUCUUGUAGAGGGGGGUAGAAUUCCAGGUGUAGCGGUGAAAUGCGUAGAGAUCUGGAGGAAUACCGGUGGCGAAGGCGGCCCCCUGGACAAAGACUGACGCUCAGGUGCGAAAGCGUGGGGAGCAAACAGGAUUAGAUACCCUGGUAGUCCACGCCGUAAACGAUGUCGAUUUGGAGGUUGUGCCCUUGAGGCGUGGCUUCCGGAGCUAACGCGUUAAAUCGACCGCCUGGGGAGUACGGCCGCAAGGUUAAAACUCAAAUGAAUUGACGGGGGCCCGCACAAGCGGUGGAGCAUGUGGUUUAAUUCGAUGCAACGCGAAGAACCUUACCUGGUCUUGACAUCCACAGAACUUAGCAGAGAUGCUUUGGUGCCUUCGGGAACUGUGAGACAGGUGCUGCAUGGCUGUCGUCAGCUCGUGUUGUGAAAUGUUGGGUUAAGUCCCGCAACGAGCGCAACCCUUAUCCUUUGUUGCCAGCGGUCCGGCCGGGAACUCAAAGGAGACUGCCAGUGAUAAACUGGAGGAAGGUGGGGAUGACGUCAAGUCAUCAUGGCCCUUACGACCAGGGCUACACACGUGCUACAAUGGCAUAUACAAAGAGAAGCGACCUCGCGAGAGCAAGCGGACCUCAUAAAGUAUGUCGUAGUCCGGAUUGGAGUCUGCAACUCGACUCCAUGAAGUCGGAAUCGCUAGUAAUCGUAGAUCAGAAUGCUACGGUGAAUACGUUCCCGGGCCUUGUACACACCGCCCGUCACACCAUGGGAGUGGGUUGCAAAAGAAGUAGGUAGCUUAACCUUCGGGAGGGCGCUUACCACUUUGUGAUUCAUGACUGGGGUGAAGUCGUAACAAGGUAACCGUAGGGGAACCUGCGGUUGGAUCACCU